GGAAAAUAAAAAUACUCGGAUAAAUAGAAAGAAGCAGAUAUUCUGGGAAGAGUAGGGUUUUUGAGUAUAUUCUAUCUCCAUAUUCUGUUUGAAAAAAAUGCUUUCAAUUUAAAUAACAAAUGGAGAGGAUCUCAAUCUUCACUCUUCAAUCCUCCAACCCUUUUCUUCAUUCUUCUUCUUCUUCUUGUUUAGCUUGGAAUCAGUGUCAGACCCACUUGGCUUUAAGCUCUCCCUUAAACCCCAUUGGAGGAGGAAGGGUCUGUGUGAAGCCAAGGACAAGCUCCUGCCGGUUUGUGGUGCUAUCUACCCACUCCAACCCCAAGAUUGUCAAGUCCAACAGGAGGUCACGGUACGGUCAGGCCCUGUCUCCUUAUGAUACUGAUGAAGAAGGUGAAGAAGACGACGAGGACGAGGAUGAAGACGAUGUUGGUGGGGCCUCGGAUGACGAUUGGUUGCUAAACGAUGACUUUGCAGAGAUUGCCGAUUUCAAUGUUAAAAAUAAGAGUUCUAAGUCAAAGAAGGGAUACAAGAGAAGUAGUACGAGAGAAGGAAACCAGAAACAAGCAGAGAAACACUGGGGCAGACCAUCAUUAGGGCUUUCAGCUGACAGAGGUCAUUUGAAUGACAGAAAUGGGAAAUACAGCCUUGAAAAAAGUAAUGGAAGUUAUGGUUAUGCGUCAAACAGAAUGGAAGUCAAAUCCUCGGAUGUUCGUAAAGCAAAGAUUACUAGAAGGCAAGCUAUGGAGAAAAAGUAUCCUCGACUGACUGAAGAGAUAGACUUGGAUGAGAAGUGGAUGCCCCUUCUUGAUUACCUAAGCACGUUUGGGCUUAAGGAAUCACACUUUAUCCAAAUGUAUGAGAGGCAUAUGCCUUCCCUUCAAAUAAACAUUUGUUCUGCAGAAGAAAGGUUGGAAUACUUGUUAAGCGUUGGUGUCAAGCAUAGAGAUAUAAGAAAAAUACUUCUGAGACAGCCACAGAUUUUAGAGUAUACAGUGGAGAAGAAUUUGAAGUCUCAUGUUGCUUUCUUGAUGAAUUUGGGUAUUCCAAGUUCCAGAGUGGGACAGAUAAUUGCUGCUGCUCCAUCCAUUUUUUCUUAUAGUGUUGAGAAUUCACUAAAACCCACUGUGAGAUACUUGGUUGAGGUUGGCAUUAAAGAAAAGGAUUUAGGUAAAGUUGUGCAGCUAAGUCCUCAGAUUCUGGUUCAGCGAAUUGAUAUAUCUUGGAAUACACGUUAUAUUUUCCUUUCAAAGGAAUUAGGAGCCCCCAGAGAUAGUGUAGUAAAGAUGGUGACGAAACAUCCCCAGCUUCUCCAUUACAGCAUUGAUGAUGGGUUACUGCCAAGGAUCAAUUUCCUUAGGAGCAUCGGAAUGCGUAAUGCUGAUAUCUUGAAAGUUUUGACUAGUCUCACACAGGUACUGUCAUUGUCAUUGGAAGAUAAUUUAAAGCCCAAGUACAUGUACUUGAUCAAUGAACUCCAUAAUGAAGUACACUCCUUGACAAAAUAUCCUAUGUACCUUAGCUUGUCUUUGGACCAGAGAAUUCGUCCUCGGCAUCGGUUCUUGGUUUCCCUAAAGAAAGCACCCAAGGGGCCAUUUCCUCUAAGUUCAUUGGUUCCUACCGAUGAAUGUUUCUGUCAGCAGUGGGCUGGAACUAGCUUAGAUACUUAUCUGGCAUUUCGGCAGAGAUUACUUCUCAAGGAGUUUGCAAAGAAGUUUGAAAGAAAAGGGUAGUAUGUUUCCUCAAGUUUGACCAAUGUCUAGAGAGACAUUUUUGGAAAGAAGAAUAGUUUCCAACUUCACCAAUCUACAUCUCCACUAUAAUAGAACUGCUCAUAAGGUUUCGAGUGAAGCUCAUACAAUAUAACCAUAAGCACCAUUACCAGGUUGCCAUCAACAAAAGGUUCGGUGCACUACUGUGCUAAGCUGCUCCAGUUUUGUACACCCUUGAUAUUUACAUAUUUGGAUGUAUGUUAUGAGGUUAAUAACCUAUUAAGUUCUGGUGAUUGGAAGGCAAAAAACGUCAAGGUUUUGUACUAUUUGUAAUUGAAGGACCAAAUGAGGUAGCUACACGGACUCAUGAAUGUUUUCACACCUUCUAGGCUUCUACACUAAUUCAUUUACUCCACUAUACAAGUGUGUCACAAUAGUAAGAUUUCAUCUUCUUACUCGUAUAUUUUCUCAUGAGAUGCGCUUCAAAAGUUCCAUUUCAAGUUGUUUGCGGUUUCCAUUUCAAGUUGUUCCUGGUUUCGUGGGAAUUUUGUAUGCUAAAUAUGGAAAUUGUUUAAACUUAUAUAAGGGCACAUUUUAUAUGCAGAAUAGAUAUAGGAAUAAAAUAACUAUUCUACAAGAUUAAUUAUUACUAUAUUUGGUAGAUUUUAAAUUUUUUA
Molecule: RNA transcript, 2386 nt
Organism: Ziziphus jujuba (common jujube)
Lineage: Eukaryota; Viridiplantae; Streptophyta; Magnoliopsida; Rosales; Rhamnaceae
Gene name: transcription termination factor MTERF9, chloroplastic
Exons: 6
Source: RefSeq, a predicted model, not a curated record